UGGAGAGAGAAGGGUUUCCUUGAUCGGAGACUAAGAUUUUUGGCUGCACGGACACACAGGAGGAAGGUGAGCUGAUGCCUCAGCCCUGCGUUAGAGCCACAUAAUGGAAUAGGACGGAAGGUGAAAGACUCAUAGCAGAGGAGCAGAGAAAGUGGGAAUCCAGAGCUUUCUAGGAUCUUCUUAAAGGAAUCACCCGCUGAGAACACGACUUUAAAUUCCCGGAGUCCCCUUGGAAAGGAAAUCAGGCAUCAGCAGCUCCCACGUCCAUCCCCUGGGCAUCAGGCACCUUCCAGCCCCUGGGGGGGGUUGGGGGGUCACUUCCAUGCUCCCCCUCAUUCCCCUGGAAACUUUGCUACCGUAGUUCCAAGUUCUGCCGGCGUUCCCUU
Long non-coding RNA from Manacus vitellinus (golden-collared manakin), 386 nucleotides. RefSeq lists it as uncharacterized. NCBI's taxonomy places the organism in Eukaryota, Metazoa, Chordata, Aves, Passeriformes, Pipridae. The record is from RefSeq and is a predicted model, not a curated record. The transcript is spliced from 3 exons.